CUCCCGCGCCUGCACCUGCCACACCUGCUGUGGCGGGCACCUUUCAGGCGUGGUCGGCUCCGGGUCUGCUCGGCGCUCGUCCCCAGGCCUCCGUCGCGCCCACCGGGCUCUCCGCCAUGACUGCGCCCCACGGCCAGCAACCUCAGUGGGAUCAAGCUGCCCUCAUCGCUGCCCUGAACCAGAUGUCGAUGCAAUCAUCCUCAACUCCCGGUGGUGAAUGGAUCAUGGACAGCGGCGCGUCUUCACAUAUGGGAUCCGGUGCUGGACCUAGCUACUGGGAAGGUGCUUCACCGAUGUGACUCGUCUGGCGAUCUGUACCCGUUCGUGCCGUCCCGCCAUUGUCUCCAAGCCACCGUCUCCGCCACGCUCUGGCACCAGCGCCUUGGCCAUCCUGGUGCUCCGGUCCUCCAGAAGGCAUCUCAAUAUUUUCAAUUCACUUGUAAUAAAAGUCAGGCUACUCAUUGUGAGGCUUGUCGACUAGGGAAACACACUAGGCUUUCUUUUCAUCCUUCAUCUACCAUUACUACUGUUCCGUUUGAACUCUGUCAUUGCGAUCUUUGGACCAGCCCUGUACUUAGCAUCUCAGGUUAUCAAUAUUACUUAGUAAUUCUUGAUGAUUUCA
This is a long non-coding RNA of Lolium rigidum, 622 nucleotides long. RefSeq lists it as uncharacterized. The record is from RefSeq and is a predicted model, not a curated record. The transcript has 2 exons. NCBI's taxonomy places the organism in Eukaryota, Viridiplantae, Streptophyta, Magnoliopsida, Poales, Poaceae.